This 1324-nucleotide ribosomal RNA is filed under the name metagenome. Its description in RNAcentral is "bacterial LSU rRNA". It matches the Rfam family "Bacterial large subunit ribosomal RNA", at positions 1561 to 2925 of the family's 2925-position model. The record is from RNAcentral.
AGUGGAUGGGGAGCAACCUAGUUGUGCGUGUGUGAAGGUAGUGCCAAGAAAAGCGAUGAUCAUGUUGAAAAUCAAUUCCCGGUACCCGAAACCGACACAGGUGGGCAAGUAGAGAAUACUAAGGGGCGCGAGGUAACUCUCUCCAAGGAACUCGGCAAAAUGACCCCGUAACUUAGGGAGAAGGGGUGCCACCGAGAGGUGGUCGCAGUGAAGAGGCCCAGGCGACCGUUUAGCAAAAACAUAGGUCUCUGCGAACUCGAAAGAGGAGGUAUAGGGGCUGACGCCUGCCCAGUGCCGGAAGGUUAAAAGUUGGUCAGUUUUAGGAUGAAGCUAGCGACUGAAGCCCCGGUGAACGGCGGCCGUAACUAUAACGGUCCUAAGGUAGCGAAAUUCCUUGUCGGGUAAGUUCCGACCCGCACGAAAGGCGUAACGAUCUGGGCGCUGUCUCGGAGAGAGGCUCGGCGAAAUAGGAUUGUCUGUGAAGAUACGGACUACCUGCAUUUGGACAGAAAGACCCUAUGAAGCUUUACUAUAGCUUGGAAUUGUGUUCGGGCUUCCUGUGCGCAGGAUAGGUGGGAGGCGUAGAAGGUAUUCUUGUGGGGAUACUGGAGCCAACGGUGAGAUACCACUCUCAGGAGGCUAGAAUUCUAACUUAAUUAAGGACAGUUUCAGGUGGGUAGUUUGACUGGGGCGGUCGCCUCCAAAAAGGUAACGGAGGCGUACAAAGGUUCCCUCAGACUGGUUGGAAAUCAGUCGAAGAGUGCAAAGGCAGAAGGGAGCUUGACUGCGAGAAGUACAGUUCGAGCAGGGUGGAAACACGGUCUUAGUGAUCCGACGGUGCUGUGUGGAAGGGCCGUCGCUCAACGGAUAAAAGUUACUCUAAGGAUAACAGGCUGAUCUCCCCCAAGAGUUCACAUCGACGGGGAGGUUUGGCACCUCGAUGUCGGCUCAUCGCAACCUGGGGCGGAAGUACGUCCCAAGGGUUGGGCUGUUCGCCCAUUAAAGCGGUACGUGAGCUGGGUUCAGAACGUCGUGAGACAGUUCGGUCCAUAUCCGAUGUAGGCGUGAGAAUAUUGAGAGGAGCCUUCCUUAGUACGAGAGGACCGGGAAGGACGCACCGCUGGUGUACCUGUUAUGAUGCCAAUUGUAAACGCAGGGUAGCCAAGUGCGGAGAGGAUAACCGCUGAAAGCAUCUAAGUGGGAAGCCCACCUCAAGAUGAGUAUUCUGGUGUAAGGUCACGGGAAGACGACCCGUAAAUAGGCACGAGGUGGAAGUGCAGAGAUGUAUGAAGCCGAAGUGUACUAAUAGACCGUCGGCUUGAUA